This 180-nucleotide ribosomal RNA is filed under the name uncultured Glomeromycotina. Its description in RNAcentral is "partial small subunit ribosomal RNA". The stretch from base 91 to 180 matches the Rfam family "Eukaryotic small subunit ribosomal RNA", at positions 736 to 828 of the family's 1831-position model. The record is from RNAcentral. Lineage: Eukaryota; Fungi; Glomeromycota.
GACCUGGCUAGGCGGUCUUGCUGAAAGGUAAGCACUGCUCUGGUCGGGUCUUUCCUUCUGGGGAACCAGUGUGCUCUUAAUUGGGUGCGCUGGGGAUCCAGGACUUUUACUUUGAAAAAAUUAGAGUGUUUAAAGCAGGCCACCGCUUGAAUACAUUAGCAUGGAAUAAUAGAAUAGGAC